Molecule: long non-coding RNA, 680 nt
Filed under: Nicotiana tabacum (common tobacco)
Lineage: Eukaryota; Viridiplantae; Streptophyta; Magnoliopsida; Solanales; Solanaceae
Description: long non-coding RNA (NTAB_LNC012985)
Source: RNAcentral
GAAAAUGUAGACUGAAAAUAAGGUUAAACCUGUGGUUGCAACUGAAUAUACUCCAAUCGCCCCUCAAUCAUAGUUUCAUUCUUUUUUGUUUUGUACGUGCCUCGAUAUCCAAUUUCUAUGGGAGCCAUGUUGAUAGAAGAAGUAUAAUGGUUAUAGUUAAUUCAGUAAAAUUAUAUAGCGAUAACAGAUAUUGAAGUCUUUUUUCUUGUGAAUUGUUUUCAGAAUACACGGGUAGGAGAGUAAUUCUUUUAAGUUAUGAGAUGUUUUUGAUAUUUGCGUUAAAAAAACACUCUAACUUUUAUACUCUUAAAUUCUUGAUCCUUCGUUAGGUUAGUGUGUUAACUUUUUCUAUAUAUUUUUCGUAAUACAGUGAAUGGAGAUUGUUACAUAACAAGUGUAAUUGGUUUGUCUCACUGCACAGGAGACUAAGUUAUCUAGGGAGGCAUUUUGUGUUUUUUAGGGACAUAGUGGGACUCUUCAAAGUCUAUCAAGGUAAGAGAGAAUCAUUUUCGGUUGAUGUGUUGGGAUGACCAUCUUUCCUGGCGUAUGUUCAAGGAUUUACUGCAUACUUUCUUUGGAGGAAGAAGCAAGAGGGAAUACAGUAGCACUUAAUGUUAGUGAAUUUUUGCAUUCUAUGUAUAUUUGGGUAUAAACUUAUUAGCGCCAAGUGUUUAUAAAAA